This 562-nucleotide unclassified non-coding RNA is filed under the name Hevea brasiliensis (rubber tree). Lineage: Eukaryota; Viridiplantae; Streptophyta; Magnoliopsida; Malpighiales; Euphorbiaceae. The record is from RNAcentral.
UGAUGCCCUUGAAAAUGUCCAUGUCAUCAACCCCAACAAUAAUCUUUUUCCCCUCAAACUGCUUUUGAAUUUCUUUAACCUUGAUGGAAGAAGAGGGGUGAUUUAGAGCAGACUCUAAUCGGCCCAUAUGAACUCCGACAGGCAAAAUUUUGAUGUAUACUGUGCGUCCAAAAUACUCAAGUCCAAUAUGACCACGUUUUGAUUCAUAGUCUAGGCCCAACAUUCGGCUGCAACAGGACAGAAAGUGACGAGCAUAAUCAAAUGUAUGAAAACCAAUUAAAUCUGCAUUCAGCAGUGCUUUUAGAAUUUCAUUUCUGACUGGCAGAGUUCGGUAAAUUUCUGAUGAAGGGAAUGGGCUGUGAAGGAAGAAGCCAAGCUUAACUCGAUAGAAACGCUUCCUCAAGAAAGUAGGGAGCACCAUUAGGUGAUAGUCAUGAACCCAAAUGAACCCAAACAUAAUCUUCUUCAGGAUUGAUCACUUCCAUAACCUUAUCCGCAAAAACUUUAUUAGCAGAGACAUAGGCCUGCCAAAGCAACUUGUCAAAGCGAUCACCAUGAUCAG